ACCCAGACUCCUACGGGAGGCAGCAGUGAGGAAUAUUGGUCAAUGGGCGCGAGCCUGAACCAGCCAAGUCGCGUGAGGGAUGACGGCCCUACGGGUUGUAAACCUCUUUUGUCGGGGAGCAAAUUCCGCCACGUGUGGCGGAGUCGAGAGUACCCGAAGAAAAAGCAUCGGCUAACUCCGUGCCAGCAGCCGCGGUAAUACGGAGGAUGCGAGCGUUAUCCGGAUUUAUUGGGUUUAAAGGGUGCGUAGGCGGGAUGCCAAGUCAGCGGUAAAAAUGCGGUGCUCAACGCCGUCGAGCCGUUGAAACUGGCGUUCUUGAGUGGGCGAGAAGUAUGCGGAAUGCGUGGUGUAGCGGUGAAAUGCAUAGAUAUCACGCAGAACUCCGAUUGCGAAGGCAGCAUACCGGCGCCCUACUGACGCUGAGGCACGAAAGCGUGGGUAUCGAACAGGAUUAGAUACCCGAGUA
RNAcentral lists this ribosomal RNA (466 nucleotides) under uncultured bacterium. RNAcentral describes it as "bacterial SSU rRNA". It matches the Rfam family "Bacterial small subunit ribosomal RNA", at positions 329 to 792 of the family's 1533-position model. The record is from RNAcentral.